This 426-nucleotide ribosomal RNA is filed under the name uncultured Paenibacillus sp. RNAcentral's name for it is "bacterial SSU rRNA". It matches the Rfam family "Bacterial small subunit ribosomal RNA", at positions 355 to 774 of the family's 1533-position model. Lineage: Bacteria; Bacillati; Bacillota; Bacilli; Caryophanales; Paenibacillaceae. The record is from RNAcentral.
UAGGGAAUCUUCCGCAAUGGACGAAAGUCUGACGGAGCAACGCCGCGUGAGUGAUGAAGGUUUUCGGAUCGUAAAGCUCUGUUGCCAGGGAAGAAUGCUUGGGAGAGUAACUGCUCCCAAGGUGACGGUACCUGAGAAGAAAGCCCCGGCUAACUACGUGCCAGCAGCCGCGGUAAUACGUAGGGGGCAAGCGUUGUCCGGAAUUAUUGGGCGUAAAGCGCGCGCAGGCGGCCUUGUAAGUCUGUUGUUUAAACUUGGGGCUCAACCCCAAGUCGCAAUGGAAACUGCAAAGCUUGAGUGCAGAAGAGGAAAGUGGAAUUCCACGUGUAGCGGUGAAAUGCGUAGAGAUGUGGAGGAACACCAGUGGCGAAGGCGACUUUCUGGGCUGUAACUGACGCUGAGGCGCGAAAGCGUGGGGAGCAAACA